GCCAGUUGUGGUGGUGUGCAACUCUAGUCCCAGCUACUUGGGAGGCUGAGGCAGGAAGAUUGCUUGAGUCCAGGAGUUCUGGGCUGUAGUGUGCUAUGCUGAUUGGGUGCUGGCACUAAGUUCAGCAUCAAUAUGGUGACCUCCCCGGAGCAGGGGACCACCAGGUUGCCUAAGGAGGGGUGAAAUGGCCACCGUCGGAAAUGAAGCAGGCCAAAUCCCGUGCUGAUCAAUACUAGAGCCUAAAAAUUCUUUAUCCUCAUCCCAAAUUCCAGAAUCUCACUGUAGCUACUCAUCUCU
RNAcentral lists this signal recognition particle RNA (297 nucleotides) under Microcebus murinus (gray mouse lemur). RNAcentral describes it as "Metazoan signal recognition particle RNA (ENSMICG00000031643.2)". It matches the Rfam family "Metazoan signal recognition particle RNA". Rfam says of the family: The signal recognition particle (SRP) is a universally conserved ribonucleoprotein. It is involved in the co-translational targeting of proteins to membranes. Lineage: Eukaryota; Metazoa; Chordata; Mammalia; Primates; Cheirogaleidae. The record is from RNAcentral.